AUGUCACAUGUCUCUCAAGAGGUAGACAGAUAGUCAGCCUGUCCUUCGCUGCAGUUGCACUUCCAAAUGGUGGUUGGACUUUGGGUUGAGUUGUUGUUCAGAAGAUCUGUUGAGUCAUCGAGGUCCUCCAUCCUGUUUAGCCUUAAUCCCUCCAGUCAAUGUCAUCACAUGUUGGAAUAGACCUGCACUUCAAACCUCAACUGAUUACCAACAUAGCAGGCUUACAAUACGUUGUCGGUAAUUCAGCAUUUAGGCCCCACCCUAGUCAUAUUAUGAUGAAGAUAGAGGCCUAGGUUUGUAAUAAUAUAUAUAAUAUAUAUAUGCCAUUUCACAGACACUUUUAUCCAAAGCGACUUACAGUCAUUAAUUCCAAAGUAAUCUAAGUCAUGUUAAAUUGGAUUCACUGAUAUCCAUUCAGUAUGACUGGUUUGUAAGAAAGGGAGUGAGAGACGGACAAUAGUUGACUUAUAGGCACAUUCUCUAUGGCAGGGUUCCCCAACUGGCAGGUGAUUUUAUUUGGCCACCCAAGUUAUCUGAGCCAAACAAAAAUGUAUUUGAAUAAUCAUCAUUUUUGGUUGGAAUUUUCAUUGGUGGACAUAAGACUGUAAAAACACCAGAAAAUCAGCUCCAAGUGAUUUUAACUUUGGAAAUCUGUUACAAAGUAUUCCCACGCAUAAUAGAGAGACAUGAUUGUAUACAAAUGUAAGCAAGGUUUGAAAUUAUUAUGUUAUUAUCUGUUUGGGCUUCUUGCAGUCAAUUUGCAGUCUACAAAUGAUUUGUAACUAUGUUCCGGCCCACCGACCAUCCGCUCAAGAAAAAAUAGUCCUGAAUCUAGUUGAUGAUCCCUGCUCUAUGGUUUAUCUAAGGAGCCACUGAUGUCAGUACAGUAUCCUUGUGACUUUCCUGUUGCCAUGUAAACAGGCCUUGUCCUCAGUCAGCUCCCUACCCACACAUCACACAUCAGCCAGAAAGAUCAUAAACUGAACGGAAGGCCUUUAAACCAAUGUUUCAGGUACCUAUAGAGAGUCAAAGCCUGGAUCCCAGUUUUCUGCUAGCCAGGGCCUGUAUCCAUAAAGUGUCUCAGAGUAGAGGAGUGCUGAUCUAGGAGGAGGAGUGCUGAUCUAUGAGGUAGGAGUGCUGAUCUAUGAGGAGGAGUGCUGAUCUAGGAGGAGGAGGGCUGAUCUAGGAGGUAGGAGUGUUGAUCUAGGAGGAGGAGUGCUGAUCUAGGAGGAGGAGUGCUGAUCUAGGAGGAGGAGUGCUGAUCUAGGAGGUAGCAGUGCUGAUCUAGGAGGUAGGAGUGCUGAUCUAGGAGAAAGAGUGCUGAUCUAGGAGGUAGGAGUGCUGAUCUAGGAGGUAGGAGUGCUGAUCUAGAAGGUAGGAGUGCUGAUCUAGGAGGUAGGAGUGCUGAUCUAGAAGGUAGGAGUGCUGAUCUAGGAGGAGGAGUGCUGAUCUAGGAGGUAGGAGUGCUGAUCUAGGAGGUAGGAGUGCUGAUCUAGGAGGAGGAGUGCUGAUCUAGGAGGUAGGAGUGCUGAUCUAGGAGGAGGAGUGCUGAUCUAGGUGGAGGAGUGCUGAUAUAAGAGGAGGAGUGCUGAUCUAGGAGGUAGGAGUGCUGAUCUAGGAGGUAGAGUGCUGUUCUAGGAGGUAGGAGUGCUGCUCUAGGAGGUAGGAGUGCUGAUCUAGGAGGUAGGAGUGCUGAUCUAGGAGAUAGGAGUGCUUAUCUGAGGUAGGAGUGCUGAUCUAUGAGGUAGGAGUGCUGAUCUCGGAGGAGGAGUGGUGAUCUCGGAGGUAGGAGUGUUUAUCUUGGAGUAGGAGUAUUGAAACUGAUCCUAGAUCAGCACUACUCUGAGACACAUACAGGCCCUGGUAUCAUGUCUCAUUGUGCUGUUUUGCCAACAACCUGGAGACAGCAAAACAGACCAAACAGCCCACGGACCAGGCUAGUUUCCUGCCAUGUUGUCUGUCUAUAUGAAUAUCCUCUGACUGUGUAUUAGUGGGCCAGUGUGCCGGCUGGAUGUCUUGUCUAGUCUAAAGCACCCGCCGGUAGCAGCAUGCACAGGCCUGUUGCUGAGUGUCUGAUGUACCCACUCAUCACACUGAGUCUAGGGGCACUGAGUCAACUCAUGAACUCAAGUGGCACACACACACACAGCAUAUGAAUGAGUGUGUUGUUUCACAAUGAUCCUUUGUCAUGCUGUCUCUGGCUGUCAGGUCACAGCAAAACUGUUAG
Molecule: long non-coding RNA, 2227 nt
Organism: Oncorhynchus keta (chum salmon)
Lineage: Eukaryota; Metazoa; Chordata; Actinopteri; Salmoniformes; Salmonidae
Exons: 3
Source: RefSeq, a predicted model, not a curated record